Non-coding RNA from Caenorhabditis elegans, 268 nucleotides. Lineage: Eukaryota; Metazoa; Nematoda; Chromadorea; Rhabditida; Rhabditidae. The record is from Ensembl.
UCCAACUGCGGUUGGAAGGGCUGUCGGCUGAUGAUGAUGACGACAGCAGGUGCUCUGUUCUGCCAGUCAACCACAGAGGGCCAAUAAACCUGUGAGCAAGGAGAUGAGAGGAGAUACAAAUUUACAAUGAUCGAUGGAGAGGUCUAAUGGCAUAUUUAUGAUCUUGGCACUUAUUUGUGGACCGGAAAUAAACGGGGGUAGAGCUUGCUUGUGUAUGUUUACCUCAUUUCAUUUCUUUCGAAAAUUCUUCCAUUUAUGUUUAUUUUGA